UAAUAGCCCCGAUAAUAGUGGAAAUCCUUUUGCUUUUUUCUUUAAAAAGUAAAAGAUUGUAACGGAUAGCGGGAUUGGCU
RNAcentral lists this small RNA (80 nucleotides) under Flavobacterium swingsii. RNAcentral's name for it is "Flavo-1 RNA". It matches the Rfam family "Flavo-1 RNA". The record is from RNAcentral. Lineage: Bacteria; Pseudomonadati; Bacteroidota; Flavobacteriia; Flavobacteriales; Flavobacteriaceae.